This 301-nucleotide ribosomal RNA is filed under the name uncultured bacterium. RNAcentral describes it as "partial 16S ribosomal RNA". It matches the Rfam family "Bacterial small subunit ribosomal RNA", at positions 509 to 808 of the family's 1533-position model. The record is from RNAcentral.
CAGCCGCCACGGUAAUACGGAGGGUGCAAGCGUUAAUCGGAAUUACUGGGCGUAAAGCGCACGCAGGCGGUCUGACAAGUCAGAUGUGAAAUCCCCGGGCUUAACCUGGGAACUGCAUUUGAAACUGUCAGGCUGGAGUCUUGUAGAGGGGGGUGGAAUUCCAGGUGUAGCGGUGAAAUGCGUAGAGAUCUGGAGGAAUACCGGUGGCGAAGGCGGCCCCCUGGACAAAGACUGACGCUCAGGUGCGAAAGCGUGGGGAGCAAACAGGAUUAGAUACCCCCGGUAGUCCCUGUCUCUUAUA